This 318-nucleotide long non-coding RNA is filed under the name Callithrix jacchus (white-tufted-ear marmoset). RNAcentral's name for it is "lncRNA (ENSCJAG00000071181.1)". The record is from RNAcentral. Lineage: Eukaryota; Metazoa; Chordata; Mammalia; Primates; Cebidae.
UUUAAUGAGAUCUAUCUUACAUGGGCUUACAUGUGGAAUUGCAAUUCACAGGAUGACCAGCUCGUCCUUUCUUACUUGGGACCUUUGAGGUUUCAGCAUUGAAGAUCUCAUAUCCCGAGAAAAUCAUCACAGUGGGUCUUUCCUCUCCUACAUCCUGAAUAUUAUAAAGAAGAAGAGUAAUCCAUAAAAUUAAAAGUUAAAGGACAAGGAUGUAUGCACAAUUGUUCUUUUAGGACUCAGUUCAGCCCACAGAUGUCUCCACAGCUGCUCUCUAUUCCAAAGAGGAUUUUUUUUCCUUGGAAGCAGUCAUAUUAUGAG